UAGCAGAUGUGUGCAGUGACUCAGAAAUUUCUACUGAAUUCUCUGAGGAGCAUACCAAAUCACUUGCAAUGGCGUAUCCAGUAAAAGUUACCAAGGAAGACAUAAAAAACACGAGCUUUGGGGAGCCGUACUGAAGUAUGCUUAUAGGCUUCAGAGCAAAAAAGAUGAAGAUGAGGCACACGAUUAUUUUAAGGAGGAACUAUCACCAGGAUGUGGAUUUUAUCUGCCAAAAACAAGAAAAUUAUAUAUUGAGCAUGUGUCGGAGAGUGCUAUAGGACACG
Molecule: long non-coding RNA, 281 nt
Organism: Ctenocephalides felis (cat flea)
Lineage: Eukaryota; Metazoa; Arthropoda; Insecta; Siphonaptera; Pulicidae
Exons: 3
Source: RefSeq, a predicted model, not a curated record